Octopus bimaculoides (California two-spot octopus) is the source of this 74-nucleotide non-coding RNA. The record is from Rfam. Lineage: Eukaryota; Metazoa; Mollusca; Cephalopoda; Octopoda; Octopodidae.
GUCAGUCCGGCCUGAAAUUUUGACUCUGACCUCUUCAUCAAAGAAGGUGAGCAAAGUUUCAGGUGUAGUUGAUG